AAUGAACGCUGGCGGCGUGCCUAACACAUGCAAGUCGCACGAGAAGGGGGCCUUCGGGUCCCUUGUAAAGUGGCGAACGGGUGAGUAACGCGUAGGUAACCUGACCUCGAGUGUGGAAUAACCUGGCGAAAGCCGGGCUAAUACCGCAUGACGCCUACGGACCUUCGGACCGGAGACCAAAGGUGGCGAGCUUCGAGCGCUGCCGCUCGAGAGGGGGCCUGCGUCCCAUUAGCUAGNGGGUGGGGUAACGGCCCACCAACGGCGACGAUGGGUAGCCGGGCUGAGAGGCUGUCCGGCCACACUGGAACUGAGACACGGUCCAGACUCCUACGGGAGGCAGCAGUGGGGAAUCUUGCGCAAUGGGGGAAACCCUGACGCAGCGACGCCGCGUGGGCGAUGAA
RNAcentral lists this ribosomal RNA (401 nucleotides) under uncultured bacterium. RNAcentral's name for it is "bacterial SSU rRNA". It matches the Rfam family "Bacterial small subunit ribosomal RNA", at positions 28 to 412 of the family's 1533-position model. The record is from RNAcentral.